CCUGGCUCAGAUUUGACGCUGGCGGCAGGCCUAACACAUGCAAGUCGAGCGGAUGAAGGGAGCUUGCUCCUGGAUUCAGCGGCGGACGGGUGAGUAAUGCCUAGGAAUCUGCCUGGUAGUGGGGGAUAACGUCCGGAAACGGGCGCUAAUACCGCAUACGUCCUGAGGGAGAAAGUGGGGGAUCUUCGGACCUCACGCUAUCAGAUGAGCCUAGGUCGGAUUAGCUAGUUGGUGGGGUAAAGGCCUACCAAGGCGACGAUCCGUAACUGGUCUGAGAGGAUGAUCAGUCACACUGGAACUGAGACACGGUCCAGACUCCUACGGGAGGCAGCAGUGGGGAAUAUUGGACAAUGGGCGAAAGCCUGAUCCAGCCAUGCCGCGUGUGUGAAGAAGGUCUUCGGAUUGUAAAGCACUUUAAGUUGGGAGGAAGGGCAGUAAGUUAAUACCUUGCUGUUUUGACGUUACCAACAGAAUAAGCACCGGCUAACUUCGUGCCAGCAGCCGCGGUAAUACGAAGGGUGCAAGCGUUAAUCGGAAUUACUGGGCGUAAAGCGCGCGUAGGUGGUUCAGCAAGUUGGAUGUGAAAUCCCCGGGCUCAACCUGGAACUGCAUCCAAAACUACUGAGCUAGAGUACGGUAGAGGGUGGUGGAAUUUCCUGUGUAGCGGUGAAAUGCGUAGAUAUAGGAAGGAACACCAGUGGCGAAGGCGACCACCUGGACUGAUACUGACACUGAGGUGCGAAAGCGUGGGGAGCAGACAGGAUUAGAUACCCUGGUAGUCCACGCCGUAAACGAUGUCGACUAGCCGUUGGGAUCCUUGAGAUCUUAGUGGCGCAGCUAACGCGAUAAGUCGACCGCCUGGGGAGUACGGCCGCAAGGUUAAAACUCAAAUGAAUUGACGGGGGCCCGCACAAGCGGUGGAGCAUGUGGUUUAAUUCGAAGCAACGCGAAGAACCUUACCUGGCCUUGACAUGCUGAGAACUUUCCAGAGAUGGAUUGGUGCCUUCGGGAACUCAGACACAGGUGCUGCAUGGCUGUCGUCAGCUCGUGUCGUGAGAUGUUGGGUUAAGUCCCGUAACGAGCGCAACCCUUGUCCUUAGUUACCAGCACCUCGGGUGGGCACUCUAAGGAGACUGCCGGUGACAAACCGGAGGAAGGUGGGGAUGACGUCAAGUCAUCAUGGCCCUUACGGCCAGGGCUACACACGUGCUACAAUGGUCGGUACAAAGGGUUGCCAAGCCGCGAGGUGGAGCUAAUCCCAUAAAACCGAUCGUAGUCCGGAUCGCAGUCUGCAACUCGACUGCGUGAAGUCGGAAUCGCUAGUAAUCGUGAAUCAGAAUGUCACGGUGAAUACGUUCCCGGGCCUUGUACACACCGCCCGUCACACCAUGGGAGUGGGUUGCUCCAGAAGUAGCUAGUCUAACCGCAAGGGGGACGGUUACCACGGAGUGAUUCAUGACUGGGGUGAAGUCGUAACAAGGUAGCCGU
Molecule: ribosomal RNA, 1488 nt
Filed under: uncultured bacterium
Lineage: Bacteria
Description: 16S ribosomal RNA
Rfam family: Bacterial small subunit ribosomal RNA
Source: RNAcentral